Molecule: ribosomal RNA, 495 nt
Filed under: uncultured bacterium
Lineage: Bacteria
Description: bacterial SSU rRNA
Rfam family: Bacterial small subunit ribosomal RNA
Source: RNAcentral
AGUGAACGCUGGCGGCAGGCCUAAUACAUGCAAGUCGAACGGCAGCACAGCAGAGCUUGCUCUGUGGGUGGCGAGUGGCGGACGGGUGAGGAAUACAUGGGAAUCUGCCCAGUCGUGGGGGAUAACGUAGGGAAACUUACGCUAAUACCGCAUGCGCCCUUCGGGGGAAAGCCGGGGACCUUCGGGCCUGGCGCGAUUGGAUGAGCCCAUGUCGGAUUAGCUAGUUGGCGGGGUAAAGGCCCACCAAGGCGACGAUCCGUAGCUGGUCUGAGAGGAUGAUCAGCCACACUGGAACUGAGACACGGUCCAGACUCCUACGGGAGGCAGCAGUAGGGAAUAUUGGACAAUGGGCGCAAGCCUGAUCCAGCCAUGCCGCGUGAGUGAAGAAGGCCCUCGGGUUGUAAAGCUCUUUUGUACGGAACGAAAAGACUCCUUCUAAUAAAGGGGGUCCAUGACGGUACCGUAAGAAUAAGCACCGGCUAACUACGUGCCAGC